GCGCACGUGGCCGGAGUGGUUAUCGGGCAUGACUAGAAAUCAUGGGCUUUGCCCGCGCAGGUUCGAAUCCUGCCGUCCACG
Molecule: transfer RNA, 81 nt
Filed under: Datura stramonium (jimsonweed)
Lineage: Eukaryota; Viridiplantae; Streptophyta; Magnoliopsida; Solanales; Solanaceae
Description: tRNA-Ser
Rfam family: tRNA
About the family: Transfer RNA (tRNA) molecules are approximately 80 nucleotides in length. Their secondary structure includes four short double-helical elements and three loops (D, anti-codon, and T loops). Further hydrogen bonds mediate the characteristic L-shaped molecular structure. tRNAs have two regions of fundamental functional importance: the anti-codon, which is responsible for specific mRNA codon recognition, and the 3' end, to which the tRNAs corresponding amino acid is attached (by aminoacyl-tRNA synthetases). tRNAs cope with the degeneracy of the genetic code in two manners: having more than one tRNA (with a specific anti-codon) for a particular amino acid; and 'wobble' base-pairing, i.e. permitting non-standard base-pairing at the 3rd anti-codon position.
Source: RNAcentral